This 165-nucleotide ribosomal RNA is filed under the name Scolecobasidium cordanae. Its description in RNAcentral is "Ochroconis cordanae partial large subunit ribosomal RNA". It matches the Rfam family "Eukaryotic large subunit ribosomal RNA", at positions 99 to 261 of the family's 3401-position model. Lineage: Eukaryota; Fungi; Ascomycota; Dothideomycetes; Venturiales; Sympoventuriaceae. The record is from RNAcentral.
CGGCAACAGCUCAAAUUUGAAAUCUGGGGCCUUCGGCUCCCGAGUUGUAAUUUGUAGAGGAUGCCUCGGGGGGUGCUUCGGCCCAAGUUCCUUGGAACAGGAUACCACAGAGGGUGAGAGUCCCGUAUCCGGCCGGCAGUACCCUCCGCGCGAGGCUCCUUCGAC